Molecule: ribosomal RNA, 325 nt
Filed under: uncultured eukaryote
Lineage: Eukaryota
Description: partial 18S ribosomal RNA
Rfam family: Eukaryotic small subunit ribosomal RNA
Source: RNAcentral
CCCUUAGAUGUCCUGGGCUGCACGCGCGCUACACUGAUGUGUCCAGUAAGCACCUAACCUCUUCCGAAAGGAACGGGUAACCUUUGCAAAGCACAUCGUGAUGGGGAUAGAUUAUUGCAAUUAUUAGUCUUGAACGAGGAAUUCCUAGUAAGCACAAGUCAUCAGCUUGUGUUGAUUACGUCCCUGCCCUUUGUACACACCGCCCGUCGCUCCUACCGAUUGAAUGUUCCGGUGAAUUAUUCGGACUGCAACGCGCUCAGUUCCUGGAUGCGAUUGCGGAAAGUUUUGUGAACCUUACCACUUAGAGGAAGGAGAAGUCGUAACA